This 269-nucleotide ribosomal RNA is filed under the name uncultured bacterium. RNAcentral describes it as "partial 16S ribosomal RNA". It matches the Rfam family "Bacterial small subunit ribosomal RNA", at positions 87 to 354 of the family's 1533-position model. The record is from RNAcentral.
CCCGGCGACCGGCGCACGGGUGAGUAACACGUAUGCAACCUGGCCGCCACAGGGGAUAACCCGCGGAAACGUGGCCUAAUACCCCGUGACGCCACCGGAGGGCAUCCUCCGGUGGCCAAAAGGAGCGAUCCGGUGGCGGAUGGGCAUGCGGCGCAUUAGCUAGACGGCGGGGUGACGGCCCACCGUGGCGACGAUGCGUAGGGGUUCUGAGAGGAAGGCCCCCCACACUGGGACUGAGACACGGCCCAGACUCCUACGGAAGGCAGCAG